CAAAGGUUUGGUCCUGACUUUACUAUCAGCUUUGACCCAAAUUAUACAUGCAAGUAUCCGCAUCCCCGUGAGAAUGCCCUUAAUCCCCCAACCGGGGACGAGGAGCAGGCAUCAGGCACAACCUUAAAAGUCAGCCCAAGACGCCUUGCUAUGCCACACCCCCAAGGGAACUCAGCAGUAAUAAACAUUAAGCUAUAAGUGAAAACUUGACUUAGUUAGGGACAUGAGGGUCGGUAAAAUUCGUGCCAGCCACCGCGGUUAUACGAAAGACCCUAGUUGAUAGGAACGGCGUAAAGGGUGGUUAGGGAAGACUCAAAAUAAAGUUAAAGAGCCUCUAAGCUGUCGCACGCAUCCCGAGAGCUCGAGAACCAAACACGAAAGUAACUUUAAAAACACCUCACCUGACCCCACGAAAGCUAAGAAACAAACUGGGAUUAGAUACCCCACUAUGCUUAGCCAUAAAACAAGAUGUAAAACUACCCACACAUCCGCCCGGGUAUUACAAGUAUUGCUUAAAACCCAAAGGACUUGGCGGUGUCUCAGACCCACCUAGAGGAGCCUGUUCUAGAACCGAUAAACCCCGUUAAACCUCACCAUCCUUGUUUUCUCCCGCCUAUAUACCGCCGUCGUAAGCUUGCCCUGUGAAGGACUAGCAGUAAGUAAAAUUGGUACAACCAAAAACGUCAGGUCGAGGUGUAGCGAAUGAAGUGGAAAGAAAUGGGCUACAUUUUCUAUUCAAUAGAAUAAUACGAAUGACACCCUGAAACAUAUGUCUGAAGGUGGAUUUAGUAGUAAAAAGCAAAUAGUGUGUCCUUUUGAAUUAGGCUCUGAGACGCGCACACACCGCCCGUCACUCUCCCCUAUUUACACAAAAACCAAUAUAUUAAUAAGUUAACCAAUGACACGGGGAGGCAAGUCGUAACAUGGUAAGUGUACCGGAAGGUGCACUUGGAACAAU
This 958-nucleotide non-coding RNA is filed under the name Rhamdia quelen (silver catfish). Its description in RNAcentral is "12S ribosomal RNA". It matches the Rfam family "Bacterial small subunit ribosomal RNA". Lineage: Eukaryota; Metazoa; Chordata; Actinopteri; Siluriformes; Pimelodidae. The record is from RNAcentral.